This 227-nucleotide ribosomal RNA is filed under the name uncultured bacterium. RNAcentral describes it as "partial 16S ribosomal RNA". It matches the Rfam family "Bacterial small subunit ribosomal RNA", at positions 97 to 334 of the family's 1533-position model. The record is from RNAcentral.
GGCGGACGGGUGAGUAACACGUGAGAAUUUACCUUUAGGAGGGGGAUAACAAUUGGAAACGAUUGCUAAUACCCCAUAUGCUUUUGAGUGAAAUGGAUUUAUAUUAUCCGCCUAGAGAGAAGCUCGCGGCUGAUUAGCUUGUUGGUAAGGUAAGAGCUUACCAAGGCGACGAUCAGUAUCUGGUUUGAGAGGACGAUCAGACACACUGGAACUGAGACACGGUCCAG